Leopardus geoffroyi (Geoffroy's cat) is the source of this 4729-nucleotide long non-coding RNA. RefSeq lists it as uncharacterized. The transcript has 3 exons. The record is from RefSeq and is a predicted model, not a curated record. NCBI's taxonomy places the organism in Eukaryota, Metazoa, Chordata, Mammalia, Carnivora, Felidae.
AAGAAAUCAGCCUAGUAACCAACGAAGAAUCACAGAGGGGAUGGGCAUCUUUGUACAGAAGACCGGACGAGGCCCAGAAGAAGCCGCCGGCUCACACGGCAACUGGCGCCAGGGCUGGGACGGGGACCCAAGGCUUCUGACCUCGGGUUUUCUUUGUACAACAACCUGCUACUAUAUUUUUUAGAGAAAUAAAUUAUGCUCCGUGCUGGUGGGAAGCCUUUUAAACAAAAAGAAAAAAGGAAACGGCCAAGAUGCAUCUUAAUUAGAAAGCGCUUGGGAAAAAAAAAUCUUCGCGGGAGGCGGGUACACAGCACCGUGCCACGAACGGUCAGCAGCAUCAGAGUGUGAGAACCCAGCAGGCUAAUUUAGAGCCUCCAGCGUCCGGAUGGAGCGGCCACGGCUCCCCAAACAUGUGACUGCCCGGAAGGUUUGCUCGCUGCCCUUACGCCUGACCCGUUCCAUCCAAGCGAUUGCGACAUCGCCACUUCCAAGGAAGAUGACAGCUCUUUCUCAAAACAAACUCAAAGCCUGGGUCAGGAAUGUGCACCACAGCCUGCUAAAAAUCAGUGACAACAUGGCCUGACACUGAUUUUCCCAAGAACUAUGGGAUCCUUGGUGUUUUGGUUUUGUUUUUCAGAAAAAAGAAACCGUCCACAAAGUAGAUAGGGUGUUUUCAGCCAGAGAAGUCAACGUGCUCUGUUACCCAAUAGCAGGGGAGGAGGGAAAGGGCCCCAGGAAGGGGACGUGUGCACGCCAGGCAGGGUACUGGGGCAACCUAGGCCUGCCCCCCUCGCCGUCACAGGCCCUGAAUACUCAGCUGAUGUCCACUAGAAACUGAUGCCUGGAGAUGGGCUGCAGCAGACUCUGGCCAUGAAGUACAUGUCUUCUCCAGCUUCCAUGAGGACACUGGAGUAGAAGAUACAGCACCACCAGCCCCGAAACCAUCCUUCUGCCCUGUUUCCUUCUCUGUGGCCACCGUAAGUGGUCACUGGGGGACAGGGCAGCACAGUGGUUUAUGGGUUGGUUUUUGGAGUUUGACAGCCUUGUCAUGAAGUCUCUGCUUGAUAACUGUGUGACUAAGCAAGUCCUAAAACUCACCUAGUCUCAGUUUCCUUAUCUGUGAAAUAGGGAUAAAAUGGGUAGUUUAUUCCUUCCAAGGGCUAUGAGGAAGACAUAAGAGAAUGCAUGUGCAGGGAACCCCCAAAUCAUACACGCCCUGACAGUGUCCUCCUGCUAAAGCUCCACAAACUCCUAGCUCCUGGUGGUGAUCUGGCCAUGACCGUAGGUCUGCAUUUUGACAAUCCGGCCUUGGUCAAUUUAGCUAACCUCAGAGUGGGUGGUGCAAAGAGCCCUGGGCUGGGACUCAUGACGAGAGUCUGAGCCUCCGUCCUGCAAUUAAUAGGCUGUGUCACCCCGAAAGUCCCUUCCCCUCUCUGAGCUUGGUUUCCCCCACACUCAGAUGAAGAAGUAGGACUUGCCUUCAAAGAGUCCCACUGGUGGCACCCUCCCAAGACUGCGCUCGUGCUGAUUUUCCCUUCUGCCAAGGCAAGAUGAAGUUAUCAUGGCUCACUCGGACUUCUUGGGAGGAUUAAUGCUCGUUAAGUGCUUCAAGCCUGGCAGCUGGCACCGAUGCAAGGUGUCACUUACUACCUGCCCGGAAAUUCUUAUCCUGGCAGGAGGCUGAUUUAUUCCGUGGCCUUGAACCUUAACCUUCCCCUGCCUCUUCCCUGUUAAAAAUUCCUCUGUCAGCUGCUUCAAUGAAGAAGCAAACGGGAUGCUGUCCACCAGUGGGCUGCCCACCCAUGAUCUCUGCCAUGGGUACUCAAGGGCUGGGAAAACAGGGCAGGCUUGGAAAGCCCUGGAGCCCUCAGGUGGCCCCCUGAGCCCAGGGGUCUUGGGCAUGCUCCAGUCAAAACAGGAGGGGCACACACUGUCCUAAGGGACUCACAUCAUCCUCACAUCAGCUGACUUGAACGCCAGGCAUGCAUAUGAGCGCUUCUGUGUCUCAGCUCCUUUAGCUCUCAAACCAAUCCUGUGAGUAGCUAGUACUGUUGUCCCAACUUAUAGCUGUGACACUGAGGCCCAGAAAGGUUAAACUUGCCCACGAUCACACAGCUAAUCAGUGUGGAGCAGCAUGCAAAUGCAAGCCGUGUGGCCCCUGAGUCCCAUGCUCCUCAGCUAGCUCAUUUGAUGUCCUCCAACUCCUAGCAGCAGCCCUUUGCAUAGGUAAGGAAGCUGGGCCUCUGUGCACCGAGCCUCUGAGAGUUACCAGCGAUAAGAGCACUGCCAUCGAGUGCCUGCUCUGGGUCUGGCUCGGGGCUAGGCCUUUGUCUCCAGUCUGUCACCACAGGCCCAGGAGGCAGGGGCCUCUGCCCCACUCCACAGUCUGAGGCCACACAGCUACCAAGUGGCAACACAGAGGCCCUGCUCAGGCAGGCUUAGACCCAAAGUCCACGCUCUUUCCACCACCUGGCUGGACACUAACAGGGACGUUCCGGUGACAUCUCAGAGGACAGGGAAAGAAGCAGAUACCUGCCGUGGCCUGGGCCACAAGGCAAGGAGCAGGCUGUGUCCUUACCCACAGCCCCGGGGUCUUGGGAACAAUUUCGGACAGGGCCUGCUGAGCCGGAUGUUAGUAAAAAGGAAGCCACUUUGAUACUGAAUUGCUUAGGACACGAACACUGGCUUGAGAGACACCUCGCUCAGUGGUCUUGCUCUCAGAGUGAGAACAGAUUCAGGGAGGGGUGCACGGGCAGCUGAGAGGGGAACCAACGUGGUGAAAUGCGGAAGAGGGCCGCACAGGACACCACGCUCGGCAUCUGAUGUUCUCCCUGCAGAGCCAGGCGCCAGUGUGAACCCAUCACUCCUCCCCGCAUGCAGCCCCCUUGGCCUUGCAGGCCAGGAAGAGAGGACUGCAAGAGCCCGCGUCCAAACGACUCGGCCGGGUGGGGCAGGGUGGGCACUGCUCCCACCCGACCUUCUCGGCGGGGCUCAGUUUAUGGCGAAGUCACGGAAGACGGCAGCGGCCAGAGUCCAGCAACGAGGCCACCCAGCGGCCCACGUGAGUCCAGAAAAAGAAGUGGCAGGGUGACAAGCAGCUGAAUUCAGGCCAGUUCACCUCCUGUCUUCGGGAACAGUCUGGCUUCAAAGCCCCUCAUGGAUCCAGUCCAAACUAGAACCUCUUCCUCUGCAUUCCCAUAAGCCUCUGUCUCAUAAGACACACAUGCGGUCGCCACGGUCAUAGCUACUACCCAUCUGACAGGUUUUCCGUGUCAGGUAGGCCCUGGGCUGGGGCUCUGAGGUCUUCUUUAGCUCCGCUGUGCAGAAAAACUCAGGAUCGUAGAGAGAUGACUUGCCUAAGCUCACACAACCAGGAGCUGGUAAAUAUACACUUGUUGAGUGAAAGAGUAAACUGAGACCAGCUCUCCUACCCAGUACCCGGGCCCCUGCCCACCCUCCUCUCCCAGGAGCCAGCCGCCCACUGCCACUUCUCUGCUGGCGGCAGAAGAAAGACGCUGCGUCACUGCCAGGACUGUUGUGAACACUGGACAAUGCGGCACCGGGGGUCCUGCUAAGGCUGCUCUGGGAGACAGAUGCCCGGGGGACCUCAGGACCUCCCAUGGCCUCACCUGGGCAACUGCCGACUGCAUUUGUUAUGCUGUAAAUUGUAAAUCACUCGUACAUGCUUGGCCCUCUGCGUGGUCAUACGUGCUCACACAGAAGUCCAGUGUGAAGGACGGACGAGCAGGGGCCCAGAGAGGCGAAGUGACUUGGACCUGGCCACACAGCGCAGGGCAGAGUGAGGACCUGUACCCAGGUCCAAGUUUCUUUCCACCAUUCCAGCUGCCCACUCUCCAUCAGGUCUGGUGACUGAAGAGGGGCUGAAGAGUUGAGAUGCAAAUGGCAGCCUUGAGGAAUGUUUACACAAGGGGAGGUGGCUUAGCCCGAUCCUCCCUGGAGUGCUCCCCAUGGUGCUCCCUCUGUCCCCACGGAUGGUCUGAGCAACAGCUAUGUCCCUGCUGCGCAGUUUCAGAAAUCAGCCUCCCCUGACUUCCACCAAUUCCCUGAAAAUUCGCACACUGCCUCCGUGCUUCCAGCCCCGAUGUACACCAGGAGCCAAAGGUCCAACAACUCUGAGAAGACUCACGCCAGCUGCCUUUCCCCCGGGCUGAUGUUGGGGAAGGUCUGUUCUAAGGCAGGGAGGACAACCAGGCUCCUCAACAGAAAUCUGUACAUUUCAUAUUUAAGGUUAAGGAAACAUCUGUCUUCUUCUCCUCUGACUCAAGAGUCCUCUGUAGCAAUCUAUGCUAAGACAACAUUUUAUGCACAAAGAUGGUAACUGCUGAAUUGUUUUUAAUAGCAAAAAAAAUGGAAACGGCUUCUGUCCAACGUUAGCAGGAUAGUUAAAUGAACUAUGGCACAUCCAUGCAUUAAUUGCAACCAUUAAAACCAUUCUUUAUGAAAAAAAUUUGAAUAAGUUAGGGAAAUACCUAUGAAUGUAACAUUAAGCCAAAACAGAGAGAGACGGAGAGAGAAAGAGGACAUGGAAUUGCAUACAGAGAGGGAAAAAAAGUACAGAGAAGACUGGAAGGAAGUGAACCAAGAUAUCAACACAGGCUGCAUCCGGGUGGCAGAACGAGUUGUUUGUUUUCUGUUUUACACCUUUUGAUACUUUUUAUUUUCUCCUACAUUCCUGUGAUAAUCAGAGAAAUAAAAGCAGCUACCCAAA